This 475-nucleotide ribosomal RNA is filed under the name uncultured bacterium. RNAcentral describes it as "bacterial SSU rRNA". It matches the Rfam family "Bacterial small subunit ribosomal RNA", at positions 17 to 538 of the family's 1533-position model. The record is from RNAcentral.
UCAUGGCUCAGAACGAACGCUGGCGGCAGGCCUAACACAUGCAAGUCGAACGAGAUCUUCGGAUCUAGUGGCGGACGGGUUAGUAACGCGUGGGAACGUGCCUUUCACUACGGGAUAGUCCUGGGAAACUGGGUUUAAUACCGUAUACGUCCUCCGGGAGAAAGAUUUAUCGGUGAAGGAUUGGCCCGCGUUAGAUUAGAUAGUUGGUGGGGUAACGGCCUACCAAGUCUACGAUCUAUAGCUGGUUUGAGAGGAUGAUCAGCAACACUGGGACUGAGACACGGCCCAGACUCCUACGGGAGGCAGCAGUGGGGAAUCUUAGACAAUGGGCGAAAGCCUGAUCUAGCGAUGCCGCGUGAGUGACGAAGGCCUUAGGGUCGUAAAGCUCUUUCGCCAGGGAUGAUAAUGACAGUACCUGGUAAAGAAACCCCGGCUAACUCCGUGCCAGCAGCCGCGGUAAUACGGAGGGGGUUAG